This 456-nucleotide ribosomal RNA is filed under the name uncultured bacterium. Its description in RNAcentral is "bacterial SSU rRNA". It matches the Rfam family "Bacterial small subunit ribosomal RNA", at positions 28 to 478 of the family's 1533-position model. The record is from RNAcentral.
GACGAACGCUGGCGGCGUGCCUAAUACAUGCAAGUCGAGCGGGGUUACUGUGGUGGAACCCUUCGGGGUGAAACUGCUUUAACCUAGCGGCGGACGGGUGAGUAACGCGUGGGUAACCUGCCCUAAAGACCGGGAUAACAGCGGGAAACCGCUGCUAAUACCGGAUACCUUUACUGGGGGGCAUCCUCUGGUAAAGAAAGGAGCAAUCCGCUUUAGGAUGGGCCCGCGUCCCAUUAGCUAGUUGGUGAGGUAACGGCUCACCAAGGCGACGAUGGGUAGCCGGCCUGAGAGGGUGAACGGCCACACUGGGACUGAGACACGGCCCAGACUCCUACGGGAGGCAGCAGUAGGGAAUCUUGCGCAAUGGGCGAAAGCCUGACGCAGCGACGCCGCGUGAGCGAAGAAGGCCUUCGGGUCGUAAAGCUCUGUCCUCAGGGAAGAAGGAAGUGACGGUAC